Molecule: ribosomal RNA, 312 nt
Filed under: uncultured bacterium
Lineage: Bacteria
Description: bacterial SSU rRNA
Rfam family: Bacterial small subunit ribosomal RNA
Source: RNAcentral
GACGAACGCUGGCGGCAUGCCUAAUACAUGCAAGUCGUGCGAACAAUCAUGGUGCUUGCACCAUUGAGCGUUAGCGGCGAACGGGUGAGUAACACGUGAGGAACCUCCCUUUCAGUGGGGGACAACAGUUGGAAACGACUGCUAAUACCGCAUAAUGCUUUUGAGCGGCAUCGCUUGAAAGCCAAAGAUUUAUCGCUGAAAGAUGGUCUCGCGUCUGAUUAGCUAGUUGGUGAGGUAACGGCUCACCAAGGCGACGAUCAGUAGCCGGUCUGAGAGGAUGAACGGCCACAUUGGGACUGAGAUACGGCCCAG